RNAcentral lists this transfer RNA (71 nucleotides) under Planctomycetota bacterium. Its description in RNAcentral is "Planctomycetes bacterium tRNA-Ala". It matches the Rfam family "tRNA". From Rfam's summary of the family: Transfer RNA (tRNA) molecules are approximately 80 nucleotides in length. Their secondary structure includes four short double-helical elements and three loops (D, anti-codon, and T loops). Further hydrogen bonds mediate the characteristic L-shaped molecular structure. tRNAs have two regions of fundamental functional importance: the anti-codon, which is responsible for specific mRNA codon recognition, and the 3' end, to which the tRNAs corresponding amino acid is attached (by aminoacyl-tRNA synthetases). tRNAs cope with the degeneracy of the genetic code in two manners: having more than one tRNA (with a specific anti-codon) for a particular amino acid; and 'wobble' base-pairing, i.e. permitting non-standard base-pairing at the 3rd anti-codon position. Lineage: Bacteria; Pseudomonadati; Planctomycetota. The record is from RNAcentral.
GGGCUCAUCGUCCAACGGGAAGACACCAGCUCGGCAGGCUGGGGAUCCGGGUUCGACUCCCGGUGGGUCCA